UGACCUCAAAUCAGGUAGGACUACCCGCUGAACUUAAGCAUAUCAAUAAGCGGAGGAGAAAAAACUAACAAGGAUUCCCCUAGUAACGGCGAGUGAAGCGGGAUGAGCUCAAAUUUGAAAGCUGGCACCUUUGGUGUCCGCAUUGUAAUCUCGAGAAGUAGUUUCUGUGCUGGACCAUGUACAAGUUCCUUGGAAUAGGACAUCAGAGAGGGUGAGAAUCCCGUACUUGACAUGGACUCCGGGGCUUUGUGAUCUG
This 256-nucleotide ribosomal RNA is filed under the name Tilletia lachnagrostidis. RNAcentral describes it as "partial 28S ribosomal RNA". It matches the Rfam family "Eukaryotic large subunit ribosomal RNA", at positions 1 to 253 of the family's 3401-position model. Lineage: Eukaryota; Fungi; Basidiomycota; Exobasidiomycetes; Tilletiales; Tilletiaceae. The record is from RNAcentral.